Molecule: long non-coding RNA, 1469 nt
Filed under: Coturnix japonica (Japanese quail)
Lineage: Eukaryota; Metazoa; Chordata; Aves; Galliformes; Phasianidae
Description: lncRNA (ENSCJPG00005004615.1)
Source: RNAcentral
GCUUUUUGUGUUUCAUUAGCAAAAGUGGUAUGAAUAACGCUGAUGAGCAGCGUCACCAUGGACUUUGGUGAAUGGUCCUGAUGCUCAGCAGCCUCCAGGGUGGAGAGCUGGGAAGAAAUGGGAAUGUCUUGAUGCUUGGUUUUCCCCAGGUCUCCAGCAUGCUGCCUCCAUCACAGCCAGUGGUGAUUGAAAUGCAAGAGACGCAACCACCGCUGGUGUCAAUAACCCCGGAGAAAAGCACCGUGAACCUCUUCAGCACUGCUGAGUUCUGGGCUUCCAGUCCUGGCUCUGCUCCUGGAUCCCUCUUUGUCCUGGAUGUGGUGAGCUGAAGCCUUUGGCAGUGUUGGUGGGAUGUGGUCACUACUGCAGAGGGGCAGCAGGAGGUGUGGCUGAGGGGCUGGAGCUGAUGCUGGGGACCUGCUUGUACACACACAUAUCACACAGGGGACCCGCUCCCCUUUUCUCCCUGCAGCACUCUGAGCUGGGUGUGCGGUUUGCUGUCGCAGAAGAGAGGCUGCAGUUCUCCCUGACACUGCACAGCCUGUCCCAUGUGGCCAUGGUGAACUCCUCCAUCGGUGCAUUCAGUGUGAGUCCUGCAGGGUGUGGGUACGGCUCUGCUUUGUGGUCUGGGUUUGAGCACAAUGUCUGCAUGGGGCCGGGUGGUGAGGAGGAGGCACUGGGUACCCACAGUGCUGCAGGUGUGGGGAAGAAGAGCCUUUCUGGCAGCUUGCAAUGAAAUUUAGAAAAUCUCAAAUGUUCCCAUUCAUCUCAGGGUAGCAGGGGGGGGCUGUGCAAUUUUCCUGUGAUUUGAGGCCUCACCAGGGGAAUUAAUGGAAGGGAGCCUGACAGGUGAGGCUGCUGGCAUUGGGAAAGAUGGGCUACGUCCAUCACCACGCUGUGUUCCAGGUGCUGCCGCUGAGGGGAGUCCUGGCAGACAUUAUUCAUGUGGCUUACGUGCCAUCCAUCAACAGUAAGCAUGCUACAGCUUCAUCGGAGGGCUCGUGUUGUGCACAGGGAAAAUGGUCCUCAUUUCUUUGCCCAUAGCCUGUAGUUAUCUGCUUUUGGAAGUGGUAUUGGCUGGUUGGCCUUGCCCGGGGUGGGGGCAGAGAGUGAUGGGCACUGGAAAGCUGCUGGUGAAGCAGUUAUCCCAUGGUAAAACAUGAUUAAAGCAGCCUGCCAUAGAGCAUCCCCUCAUCUGCUGAAUGUCCUAUGGAAAGUAUGCCAAGGGACAGGAUCUCAUUUGUGCUGCUGUACCCAACCCAGCAUGUCAGCACUGCCUGCUGUCCCCCGGGUCUGGUGCCCACGUUCUGCCCCUGACAACCCCCCCACCACUUGCAGGAGAACUGCGAGGAGGGGUCCCACUGCCCCCACUGCUGGGCACCCCAUACCAGCGUGUGGAGCUCAGGCAGAUACAGGUAGGCAUGGCGUGGGGAUCUGGGCACCCCAGGUGGCUGAGCCCUCAUUCUCCA